UAAACCGCGGAGAACCCUUACCAGAGGCUUGACAACACCCGGAAACCGGCCAAAGAUGGUCGCCCCCUUGGGGUCGGUGUACAGGUGGUGCAUGGUUGUCGUCAGCUCGUGUCGUGAGAUGUUGGGUUAAGUCCCGCAACGAGCGCAACCCUCGUUCUAUAUUGCCAGCGCGUUAUGGCGGGCACUCAUAGGAGACUGCCGGGGUCAACUCGGAGGAAGGUGGGGAUGACGUCAAAUCAUCAUGCCCCUUAUGUCUCGGGCUUCACGCAUGCCACAAUGGCCGGUACAAAGGGCUGCGAUACCGUAAGGUGGAGCGAAUCCCAAAAAGCCGGUCUCAGUUCGGAUUGAGGUCUGCAACUCGACCUCAUAAAGUCGGAGUCGCUAGUAAUCGCAGAUCAGCA
Molecule: ribosomal RNA, 401 nt
Filed under: uncultured bacterium
Lineage: Bacteria
Description: bacterial SSU rRNA
Rfam family: Bacterial small subunit ribosomal RNA
Source: RNAcentral